UUUCCGUAGGUGAACCUGCGGAAGGAUCAUUACUGAGUGAGGGCCCUCUGGGUCCAACCUCCCACCCGUGUUUAUUAUACCUUGUUGCUUCGGUGAGCCCGCCUCACGGCCGCCGGGGGGCAUCUGCCCCCGGGCCCUCGCCCACCGAAGACACCUAGAACUCUGUAUGAAGAUUGCAGUCUGAGCAAAAACUAAAUAAGUUAAAACUUUCAACAACGGAUCUCUUGGUUCCG
Molecule: unclassified non-coding RNA, 233 nt
Filed under: plant metagenome
Description: partial contains small subunit ribosomal RNA, internal transcribed spacer 1, and 5.8S ribosomal RNA
Source: RNAcentral